UUUAAGAUAAUUUGCACGUUUAGUCCCUAUCUAAUUUUUUAACUCGGAAAGUCCCUACUAUUUAUUUUUUGUUACGUGUUUGAUCCCUGUCUUACUUAAAAAAACUAUUUUGGCAUUGAUUUUUUAAUUUAUUUAAAUAAACACACUCCCAACCUAUCCCCUCACCUUACCUUACCUACUUCACCGUUUUCCCAAUUUAAAUAAUAAUAUUUUUAAAUAAGACAUGGACCAAACGCGAAACAAAAAUGAACAAUAGGUACCAAGCGCGUAACAAAAACAAACAGUAGAAACUUUCCGAGUUAAAAAAAUAAAUUAUGGACCAAACGCGUAAAUUACCCCAAACCAUAGGGACAAUUCGUUUAAUUUCAUCAAUAUCCUUCAAAAUCAGAUUUGUGUACAGCAAAAUCAUUUUUAGUCAACAAAAAUCCAAAAAAAAAAAAAAAAUCAGAUCUUGAUAUGAUUUCAAUAAUUGAUAAAAGUUUCAGCUGGAAGCUACUCCAUUCUCAAAAACCACUCAGCUCUCCUUCUCGUUUGUAUAUAGUUAAGAUGAUGAAAGGAGUCGGUGAUCCCAUUCCUUCAGUUUCCGACGAACCAUGAGGCUGCCGCCUCCGUUUCAUCCCUUUUCCUGUGAACAGCAAUCCGACCAACCAAAAACACCUCUUUCCUCAUCUGUUUUCUUGCUUUCCCUUGUCAAACAGCAACAGCCCUAUCGAUUCCUGUGAAAAAUCAAACCCAAACAUCCAUUUUGUUCCUCCUUCGAAUUCUGUUAAACAUCAGACAAACACCCACCUAAAAACAUUGAUUAAAUCUAUUAAAAAAGGCAAAACAAAACAAAAAAAAGCCAUACCUGUUAAUCCCGUUCAUUUUCUGUUGAAGAAUCACCACCUAAAUGCCCUGCUGCCUUCAUCUUUCCUUCCUCGAUCAAGCAAUGGACCGGAGAUGCUAUCAUCGUGAUUACUCCAUUAAGGCAGCUGGCCUCGCACCUCAUCACUACAUCAACAGGGUCCGACGAAAACCCUAGUCACACCGAGCCCUCUUGCCUUCACACCUCACAACCGAGCCGGAGCACCAAAUAUCGACACUCCUCGGACCGAUUCUCUUCCCCUUCCGUCGAGCAAAACCUCCGAAAACCUCAUCUGCUUCGAAGCUAUUACUGCUUGCGACGCCUGGAAUUCGCUCCCCGCAACCGAACGAGAAGAGGGAAGCCUCGCUGCUUCACCCACCUUCCCCUUUGGUCUCGUUGAACCCCCGAAGACUCCUUCCUCUUCGCGAAUCAACCGAAGAAAUCGCGCCUGCGAGACUUCCCGUUUCCUUCUCGCCGUCCUCGAUCCGACUCCCUUCGUUCAUCUGCUUCGUCGCCUUCGUUCCAUCUGUUGGAAGAUUUCGUUCAUUCCUUUAAUUGCCCGAUCAAAACAAGAGACGGGGAAUUAAAAAUGCCCUAACCCCUUUUGACUUCGACAAAAUGACAAAAUUACCCUCACUAUUAAACCUUUAUUCAAAAAUCAGUCCCAAACCCCAAAUAAUGAUCCCAUUUAUUCAAAAACAACCCAUACAUUGAUAAUUAUCAACCAAAACAGUCCCAUUUAUUCAAGAAGUUACAUACCAGCGGUUAUAUUUUGUUCAAGUUACAAAAUCAAUCCUUUGUGUUAAUUAAAUUACAAAAUAGCCUUUUUAAAUAUAAAACGUUUCAAAACAAGUCCUAUUGAUUUAAAAUAUUAUAAAAAUUGCCCCAGCCUUGUUUUAACCCAAAAAGACGUCAAGAUGCGGUUAUUCACGAAAAGCUUCACCAAAACGAACCAGGAUCGAGAUCACGCAUCGAAUAUGAGUUUCUAUGGCCCCUCUUUUACUAUUUUAAUAUUGGGGGGAGAAUACAUGCGUGUCUAUUAAAGUUUUGUUUUGAUGAUUGUCAUGUUUUAUACACACAACAACAUCAUACUCUGUUUUUGGUAAAAAAAAUUAUUAAAUAGCAA
RNAcentral lists this long non-coding RNA (1970 nucleotides) under Lactuca sativa (garden lettuce). RNAcentral's name for it is "long non-coding RNA (LSAT_LNC009199)". The record is from RNAcentral. Lineage: Eukaryota; Viridiplantae; Streptophyta; Magnoliopsida; Asterales; Asteraceae.